Molecule: long non-coding RNA, 248 nt
Filed under: Medicago truncatula (barrel medic)
Lineage: Eukaryota; Viridiplantae; Streptophyta; Magnoliopsida; Fabales; Fabaceae
Description: lncRNA gene39513
Source: RNAcentral
GUACUGAUUCAAGAACCUGCACAUUUCAACGCAGCCCGAAAGCGUUAUAAUUUAAAGAUGAAAAUCAAGACCUGUCUCAAAGCUAAGUAAAAAUAAAGGCAUAACAUGAAGUAGGAUACACAAUGAAAGAUGGGAAAGAGAUCAAGAAGUAGGAACUGAUAUUGAUUUCUUUGUGUCGAUAUACGAGAUGCAGCACACAAUGACAUAAGAGAGUAAUAACUUCAAGAAAAUUGAAAUGAAAAAGACUC